Gossypium raimondii (Peruvian cotton) is the source of this 285-nucleotide RNA transcript. RefSeq lists it as uncharacterized. The transcript is spliced from 3 exons. The record is from RefSeq and is a predicted model, not a curated record. NCBI's taxonomy places the organism in Eukaryota, Viridiplantae, Streptophyta, Magnoliopsida, Malvales, Malvaceae.
GAGUACAUGGACCCUAAUCCUGUUAAGGUUGUGAUUGGCUCAGAAGAUUUAGCUGCCAACCAUGAUGUUAUGCAGAUAGUUGAUCUCUCAUUUUAUUUAACCGGUUUUAGAUGAUCGUGCACAUUAUGAGCGAUUGACUGCAUUUAAAAUUUCUCUUCAUUGGCUAAAUAGAAUGGGCAGCAUUUAAAAUUUGCACUCUGUAUGUGUGUGACUGUAUGUUCUCUAACAUUUUAAUUGGGCUUCAUUUAAAUAAAUAAGUUUGCAGAUCCUUUCAUUCCUUAAAUU